AUACGGAGGGUGCAAGCGUUAUUCGGAAUCACUGGGCGUAAAGGACGCGUAGGCGGGUUUGUAAGUCAGGUGUGAAAUCCUACAGCUUAACUGUAGAACUGCACUUGAAACUACAGACCUAGAGUAUGGGAGGGGCAGAUGGAAUUAGUGGUGUAGGGGUAAAAUCCGUAGAUAUCACUAGGAAUACCGAAAGCGAAGGCGAUCUGCUGGAACAUAACUGACGCUAAGGCGUGAAAGCGUGGGGAGCAAACAGGAUUAGAUACCCUGGUAGUCC
This 274-nucleotide ribosomal RNA is filed under the name uncultured bacterium. RNAcentral's name for it is "partial 16S ribosomal RNA". It matches the Rfam family "Bacterial small subunit ribosomal RNA", at positions 523 to 796 of the family's 1533-position model. The record is from RNAcentral.